RNAcentral lists this ribosomal RNA (271 nucleotides) under uncultured bacterium. RNAcentral describes it as "partial 16S ribosomal RNA". It matches the Rfam family "Bacterial small subunit ribosomal RNA", at positions 28 to 307 of the family's 1533-position model. The record is from RNAcentral.
GACGAACGCUGGCGGCGUGCUUAACACAUGCAAGUCACGGGGGCUCGCAAGGGCAACCGGCGAACGGGUGCGUAACACGUGAGCAACCCUGCCGAUCUGAGGGGGAUAGCCGGCCCAAACGGCCGGGUAAUACCGCAUACGUUCUUGUGGCCUCAUGGCUGUGAGAAGAAACCUCCGGGGCAGAUCGAGGGGCUCGCGGCCUAUCAGCUAGUUGGCGGUGUAAUGGGACCACCAAGGCGACGACGGGUAGCUGGUCUGAGAGGAUGGCCAG